RNAcentral lists this long non-coding RNA (657 nucleotides) under Coturnix japonica (Japanese quail). RNAcentral describes it as "lncRNA (ENSCJPG00005019602.1)". Lineage: Eukaryota; Metazoa; Chordata; Aves; Galliformes; Phasianidae. The record is from RNAcentral.
GGAAGCUCUGUUUUUUAAAUGUUGCUUAAAUCACAUGCAAGUACGGCUUUGGUUCCGCUUUGAAUAGGAAUUAUUCAAGGCCAAAUUGCUGGUCCUGCCGUGAUCAUUGAGAGUGCUUCUGAUGUGGUUGUUCCUUGAACUGUCUGCUGAAAGACUAGAGGAUUGGAGUUUGGUGUGUCAGACUGAGGAGCACUGUGAGACUGACUGCUCUUUGUGCUGAACUCAAGAGACAGCAAACGCAAUACUGGGUAAGUUUCUGCACAUUAGUACUUCUAACAUGAUCACUAAUGUUUCUACCUCUCCAGAGGGUUUUGGUGUAGGAAGACAGUUGCUCAAGUAGGGUAUCUGGAGGGAAAGUGUGAACUCUAAUGAAAGAAGUGAAAAAAGCAAACAGCUGGGCUUUCAGUCAUUAGAGAGCUGGGGAAAUGGAAAUGGUCCAUGGGAGCAUCAAACAGUGAUCACUUGCAAUAGGCUUCUUUUGUAGCAAAGUAAUGCUUUGUGCAACAUAGCUGUAGAGAUAGAUGUUUAUUUAGGAAGCACUAGGUAGCUGGGGGAGUAUACUGAGAAAAAAAGGGCUGUAGUCAGAACGCUAAGAAUGAAGCAGAAACAAAGUAGGAUUUGAACUGGGAAACAAGAAGAAAGAAAGCAGCAUUUAUU